RNAcentral lists this ribosomal RNA (466 nucleotides) under uncultured Klebsiella sp. Its description in RNAcentral is "bacterial SSU rRNA". It matches the Rfam family "Bacterial small subunit ribosomal RNA", at positions 338 to 795 of the family's 1533-position model. The record is from RNAcentral. Lineage: Bacteria; Pseudomonadati; Pseudomonadota; Gammaproteobacteria; Enterobacterales; Enterobacteriaceae.
CCUACGGGGGGCUGCAGUGGGGAAUAUUGCACAAUGGGCGCAAGCCUGAUGCAGCCAUGCCGCGUGUGUGAAGAAGGCCUUCGGGUUGUAAAGCACUUUCAGCGGGGAGGAAGGCGGUGAGGUUAAUAACCUCAUCGAUUGACGUUGCCCGCAGAAGAAGCACCGGCUAACUCCGUGCCAGCAGCCGCGGUGAAUACGGAGGGUGCAAGCGUUAAUCGGAAUUACUGGGCGUAAAGCGCACGCAGGCGGUCUGUCAAGUCGGAUGUGAAAUCCCCGGGCUCAACCUGGGAACUGCAUUCGAAACUGGGAGGCUAGAGUCUUGUAGAGGGGGGUAGAAUUCCAGGUGUAGCGGUGAAAUGCGUAGAGAUCUGGAGGAAUACCGGUGGCGAAGGCGGCCCCCUGGACAAAGACUGACGCUCAGGUGCGAAAGCGUGGGGAACAAACAGGAUUAGAUACCCCAGUAGUC